This 895-nucleotide ribosomal RNA is filed under the name Klebsiella pneumoniae. RNAcentral's name for it is "bacterial SSU rRNA". It matches the Rfam family "Bacterial small subunit ribosomal RNA", at positions 611 to 1478 of the family's 1533-position model. Lineage: Bacteria; Pseudomonadati; Pseudomonadota; Gammaproteobacteria; Enterobacterales; Enterobacteriaceae. The record is from RNAcentral.
AUUCAGAAAACUGGUUCUGGCAUCAGUGUUCUUUGUAGAAGGGGGCGUCAGAAAUUCCCAAGGUGUAAGCCGGGUGAAAUGCGUGUAGGAGAUUGGGAAGGAAUCCCGGUGGGGGGAAGGGCGGCCCCCCUUGGUACAAAGAUUGAUCUUUAUGGGUGCGAAAAGCGGUGGGGGACCAAACCAGGAAUAAAAUACCCUGGUAGUUUCCACCUGGUAAACAUGUUCAUUUUAGAGAGGUGGUGCCUUUAAGCCUUGCUUCCGGAAGCUAACGGGUAAAACGACCCGCCUGGGAAGUCGGCCCCCAGGGUUAAAACUCAAAGGAUUGGCGGGGGCCCGCCCCAGCGGUUGGGCCAGGUGGUUUAAUUCGAUGCAACGGGAAGACCUUAACUUCUUCUGGCCUUCAACAGAUCUUUUAGGGGAGGCCGAGGGCCUUUGGGGAAUUGGUAGCCAGGUCCUCCAUGGCGUUCUUCAGUUCUGGUUGGGAAAUGUUGGGUUAAUUCCCCCAAGGGGGCCACCCCUUUCCUUUUGUUCCCGCCGGUAAGGCCGGGAACUCAAAGGAGACUGCCGGUGAUAAACCGGAGGAAGGUGGGGAUGACGUCAAGUCAUCAUGGCCCUUACGACUAGGGCUACACACGUGCUACAAUGGCAUAUACAAAGAGAAGCGACCUCGCGAGAGCAAGCGGACCUCAUAAAGUAUGUCGUAGUCCGGAUUGGAGUCUGCAACUCGACUCCAUGAAGUCGGAAUCGCUAGUAAUCGUGGAUCAGAAUGCCACGGUGAAUACGUUCCCGGGCCUUGUACACACCGCCCGUCACACCAUGGGAGUGGGUUGCAAAAGAAGUAGGUAGCUUAACCUUGUGCGAAGACGCUUUACCAUAUUUGGAUUUCCAGGCCUUC